Molecule: transfer RNA, 50 nt
Filed under: Pallisentis celatus
Lineage: Eukaryota; Metazoa; Acanthocephala; Eoacanthocephala; Gyracanthocephala; Quadrigyridae
Description: tRNA-Ile
Source: RNAcentral
UCCCUCUUUUGUAAAAUUACCUGUUGAUGUUGGGUGCUGAGUAGAGGGGU